Molecule: non-coding RNA, 80 nt
Organism: Borealophlyctis nickersoniae
Lineage: Eukaryota; Fungi; Chytridiomycota; Chytridiomycetes; Rhizophlyctidales; Borealophlyctidaceae
Source: the annotation of a GenBank genome assembly
GCUAUUAGCUCAGUCGGUUAGAGCGUGGUGCUAAUAGAUUUGUAACGCCAAGGUCACAGGUUCGACCCCUGUAUCGAGCA